GUUUGAUCCUGGCUCAGAAUCAACGCUGGCGGCGUGCCUAACACAUGCAAGUCGAACGCGAAAGGGACUUCGGUCCUGAGUAGAGUGGCGAACGGGUGAGUAACGCGUGGGUGACCUACCCUCGAGUGGGGGAUAACGUUCCGAAAGGGACGCUAAUACCGCAUGACAUUCCGGGUUCGAAGACCUGGAAAUCAAAGCCGGGGACCGCAAGGCCUGGCGCUUGAGGAGGGGCCCGCGUCUGAUUAGCUAGUUGGCGGGGUAAUGGCCCACCAAGGCGACGAUCAGUAGCCGGCCUGAGAGGGCGGACGGCCACACUGGGACUGAGACACGGCCCAGACUCCUACGGGAGGCAGCAGUGGGGAAUUGUUCGCAAUGGGCGCAAGCCUGACGACGCAACGCCGCGUGGAGGAUGAAGGUCUUCGGAUUGUAAACUCCUGUUGAUCGGGACGAAAAGCUUCGACCUAACACGUCGAGGACUGACGGUACCGGUUGAGGAAGCCACGGCUAACUCUGUGCCAGCAGCCGCGGUAAUACAGAGGUGGCAAGCGUUGUUCGGAAUUACUGGGCGUAAAGGGCGCGUAGGCGGCCUUCUAAGUCGGACGUGAAAGCCCCAGGCUUAACCUGGGAACUGCGUCCGAUACUGGGAGGCUUGGAUUCGGGAGAGGGAUGUGGAAUUCCAGGUGUAGCGGUGAAAUGCGUAGAUAUCUGGAGGAACACCGGUGGCGAAGGCGGCAUCCUGGACCGAGAUCGACGCUGAGGCGCGAAAGCUAGGGGAGCAAACGGGAUUAGAUACCCCGGUAGUCCUAGCCCUAAACGAUGAGUGCUUGGUGUGGCGGGUAUCGAUCCCUGCCGUGCCGAAGCUAACGCAU
This 869-nucleotide ribosomal RNA is filed under the name uncultured Actinomycetes bacterium. RNAcentral's name for it is "bacterial SSU rRNA". It matches the Rfam family "Bacterial small subunit ribosomal RNA", at positions 11 to 860 of the family's 1533-position model. The record is from RNAcentral. Lineage: Bacteria; Bacillati; Actinomycetota; Actinomycetes.